AUUUUUAACUUCAGCGUACAGUGCAGUGUAUUAAUAUUAAAUAUCAAUAUCAUUAACACUCAGGCAGGACCAUUUCUGAUGUGUUAGACAGCGCUGCUACUGGGUAAUAAACUAAAACAAGCGCCCGUUCAAAUAAAGCGGGAGCGAAGAACCGUCUCUGAAAGAGGAGCUUGAAAAUGAUCAGAAUUGUGAAGGCGCCGCAUCUUCUUGCGCCUCUUAAUGCAUCCCUCGUGUCAGCAGCACUAUUGUACUGAAGCGGUAUACAGUACCGGUGCGCGGUUCUCUUUUCACCUGUUUAACUGUGUUACAGGGAGCGGUGCGUGUCCACUCUUCCUCUAUGGGUCGCUGGCGGCAGCUUCAUUUCUUCUGAUUACUUUGUUAAUUACACUGGUAAUAUGUUAUCGAAGACAGAAUAAACCAGAUGCGUAUUUGGCAAAUGAACCAUCGAUGUAUUCCGAGAUUCGCGUUACAGGGAGGGCGCCAGACAAACAAAUAGCAGGGCAACGUGAAAACACCGGUUCCGGAGGAAGGCACGCCAGACCAAAGAUAAGAGCAGCGGUCCGUGAUGACGUGCAGUACGCCAGUUUGCAGUUCGAGGCGCGCGGGCGACAGAAAUGAAGACCGGGACUGGACAGAUUAUUAGAAACACCUGUGUCAUGUAGCACACACUUCUGUGUAACUGCACUGUCCCUCCUAGAACUGAAUAAUUUGAUAUGCAAAAGGCAGCACCGCUUUGCAUUAUAGAUGAAUGUAUUCAAUACAUAUGUUUAAUAAUAUAAAAAUAAUUAAAAGUACCCAAUGUAAUCCCUCUUUGAAAUAAUUGAAAUACCCAAUACAAUAAGCAUCAUAUCCUCAUGAAUUUCCUUGUUAAAAACAUUUUACAAAUAUUUACAAUUAUUUAUUUUAUAAAAGCCGUAGAUUUGCUGUAUAGCACAAUUCUUAAAACUCUCAAAAUGACUUUUUAUAAUUGUAGUUCAUUAAACGCUUUUGAAAAGA
This is a long non-coding RNA of Acipenser ruthenus (sterlet), 996 nucleotides long. RefSeq lists it as uncharacterized. The record is from RefSeq and is a predicted model, not a curated record. NCBI's taxonomy places the organism in Eukaryota, Metazoa, Chordata, Actinopteri, Acipenseriformes, Acipenseridae. The transcript is spliced from 5 exons.